This 495-nucleotide ribosomal RNA is filed under the name uncultured bacterium. RNAcentral's name for it is "bacterial SSU rRNA". It matches the Rfam family "Bacterial small subunit ribosomal RNA", at positions 899 to 1397 of the family's 1533-position model. The record is from RNAcentral.
ACUCAAAGGAAUAGACGGGGACCCGCACAAGAGGUGGAGUAUGUGGUUUAAUUCGACGCUACGCGAAGAACCUUACCUGGGCUCGAACGACUUGUAGUAAUCUUUAUGAAAGUAGAGAUGAUUCGCAAGAAAGCAAGCCGAGGUGCUGCAUGGUUGUCGUCAGCUCGUGUCGUGAGAUGUUGGGUUAAGUCCCGCAACGAGCGCAACCCCUAUCCUGUGUUGCCCAGCAAUGGGCUCUCUCAGGAGACUGCCGCGGAUAACGUGGAGGAAGGUGGGGAUGACGUCAAAUCAUCAUGGCCUUUAUGUCCAGGGCUACACACGUACUACAAUGGCGCACACAGAGGGCAGCAAAGCCGCGAGGCGGAGCCAAUCCCUAAAUUGCGCCCCAGUUCAGAUUGCAGGCUGAAAUUCGCCUGCAUGAAGCCGGAAUCUCUAGUAAUCGCAGAUCAGCACGCUGCGGUGAAUACGUUCCCGGGUCUUGUACACACCGCCCGU